AUUGAACGCUGGCGGCAUGCCUUACACAUGCAAGUCGAACGGCAGCACGGGUGCUUGCACCUGGUGGCGAGUGGCGAACGGGUGAGUAAUACAUCGGAACGUACCUUAUUGUGGGGGAUAACGCAGCGAAAGUUGCGCUAAUACCGCAUACGCCCUGAGGGGGAAAGCGGGGGACCGUAAGGCCUCGCGCGAUUAGAGCGGCCGAUGUCUGAUUAGCUUGUUGGUGAGGUAAAAGCUCACCAAGGCGAUGAUCAGUAGCUGGUCUGAGAGGACGAUCAGCCAAACUGGGACGGAGACACGGCCCAGACUCCUACGGGAGGCAGCAGUGGGGAAUUUUGGACAAUGGGGGCAACCCUGAUCCAGCAAUGCCGCGUGAGUGAAGAAGGCCUUCGGGUUGUAAAGCUCUUUUGUCAGGGAAGAAACACCGGCUCUAACACAGUCCGGGAAUGACGGUACCUGAAGAAUAAGCACCGGCUAACUACGUGCCAGCAGCCGCCGUAA
Molecule: ribosomal RNA, 501 nt
Filed under: uncultured bacterium
Lineage: Bacteria
Description: partial 16S ribosomal RNA
Rfam family: Bacterial small subunit ribosomal RNA
Source: RNAcentral